GGUAAAUCUCGUGCCAGCCACCGCGGUCAUACGAUUAACCCAAGCUAACAGGAAUACGGCGUAAAACGUGUUAAAGCACUACAUCAAAUAGAGUUAAAUUCUAAUUAAACCGUAAAAAGCCAUAAUUACAACAAAAAUAAAUGACGAAAGUAACCCUACUGCAGCUGAUACACUAUAGCUAAGACCCAAACUGGGAUUAGAUACCCCACUAUGCUUAGCCCUAAACACAAAUAAUUACAAAAACAAGAUUAUUCGCCAGAGUACUACCGGCAACAGCCCGAAACUCAAAGGACUUGGCGGUGCUUUAUACCCUUCUAGAGGAGCCUGUUCUAUAAUCGAUAAACCCCGAUAAACCUCACCAAUCCUUGCUAAUACAGUCUAUAUACCGCCAUCUUCAGCAAACCCUAAAAAGGAACAAAAGUAAGCUCAAUCACAACACAUAAAGACGUUAGGUCAAGGUGUAACCCAUGGAAUGGGAAGAAAUGGGCUACAUUUUCUACCUUAAGAAAAUUAAUACGAAAGCCAUUAUGAAAUUAAUGACCAAAGGAGGAUUUAGUAGUAAACUAAGAAUAGAGUGCUUAGUUGAAUCAGGCCAUGAAGCACGCACACACCGCCCGUCACCCUCCUCAAGUAAAUACAAUGCACUCAAGCCUAUUUACACGCAUCAACUACAUGAGAGGAGACAAGUCGUAACAAGGUAAGCAUACUGGA
Molecule: ribosomal RNA, 711 nt
Filed under: Capra pyrenaica (Spanish ibex)
Lineage: Eukaryota; Metazoa; Chordata; Mammalia; Artiodactyla; Bovidae
Description: partial 12S ribosomal RNA
Rfam family: Bacterial small subunit ribosomal RNA
Source: RNAcentral